Molecule: ribosomal RNA, 111 nt
Filed under: Aotus nancymaae (Ma's night monkey)
Lineage: Eukaryota; Metazoa; Chordata; Mammalia; Primates; Aotidae
Source: RNAcentral
GUCUACGGCCAUACCACCCUGAACGCGCCCGAUCUCGUCAGAUCUCAGAAGCAAAGCAGGGUCGGGCCUGGUUAGUACUUGGAUGGGAGAAAAAAUAAGAAGCUAAAAAAA